This 72-nucleotide transfer RNA is filed under the name Candidatus Hodgkinia cicadicola Dsem. RNAcentral's name for it is "tRNA-Met (CAT) (tRNA-Met-CAT-1-1)". It matches the Rfam family "tRNA". From Rfam's summary of the family: Transfer RNA (tRNA) molecules are approximately 80 nucleotides in length. Their secondary structure includes four short double-helical elements and three loops (D, anti-codon, and T loops). Lineage: Bacteria; Pseudomonadati; Pseudomonadota; Alphaproteobacteria; Hyphomicrobiales. The record is from RNAcentral.
GGCGACGUGGUUCAACAGGUAGGACGGAGGCAUCAUGCCCCUCAGAUCGGGGUUCGAGUCCCUGCGGCGCUA